Molecule: ribosomal RNA, 468 nt
Filed under: uncultured bacterium
Lineage: Bacteria
Description: partial 16S ribosomal RNA
Rfam family: Bacterial small subunit ribosomal RNA
Source: RNAcentral
GACGAACGCUGGCGGCGUGCUUAACACAUGCAAGUCGAACGGAAAGGCCCUGCUUUUGUGGAGUGCUCGAGUGGCGAACGGGUGAGUAACACGUGAGUAACCUGCCCUUGACUUUGGGAUAACUUCAGGAAACUGGGGCUAAUACCGGAUAGGAGCUCCUGCUGCAUGGUGGGGGUUGGAAAGUUUCGGCGGUUGGGGAUGGACUCGCGGCUUAUCAGCUUGUUGGUGGGGUAGUGGCUUACCAAGGCUUUGACGGGUAGCCGGCCUGAGAGGGUGACCGGCCACAUUGGGACUGAGAUACGGCCCAGACUCCUACGGGAGGCAGCAGUGGGGAAUAUUGCACAAUGGACGGAAGCCUGAUGCAGCAACGCCGCGUGCGGGAUGAGGGCCUUCGGGUUGUAAACCGCUUUCGCCUGUGACGAAGCGUGAGUGACGGUAAUGGGUAAAGAAGCGCCGGCUAACUACGUG